UCUAUAACUAGUCAUUCGACUCAUAUAAUAAUGUGGAAAUGGCCCAAAAGUUUCUACCAAACUACCGUAAAUAGUUUAACUAUGAGGAUGAUGGUGUUUCCU
RNAcentral lists this non-coding RNA (102 nucleotides) under Metabacillus harenarius. RNAcentral describes it as "Bacillus weihaiensis Guanine sequence". It matches the Rfam family "Purine riboswitch aptamer". Rfam says of the family: Riboswitches are metabolite binding domains within certain messenger RNAs that serve as precision sensors for their corresponding targets. Lineage: Bacteria; Bacillati; Bacillota; Bacilli; Caryophanales; Bacillaceae. The record is from Rfam by way of RNAcentral.